Molecule: ribosomal RNA, 1591 nt
Filed under: Klebsiella pneumoniae
Lineage: Bacteria; Pseudomonadati; Pseudomonadota; Gammaproteobacteria; Enterobacterales; Enterobacteriaceae
Description: partial 23S ribosomal RNA
Rfam family: Bacterial large subunit ribosomal RNA
Source: RNAcentral
GGUUAAGCGACUAAGCGUACACGGUGGAUGCCCUGGCAGUCAGAGGCGAUGAAGGACGUGCUAAUCUGCGAAAAGCGUCGGUAAGGUGAUAUGAACCGUUAUAACCGGCGAUGUCCGAAUGGGGAAACCCAGUGCAAUUCGUUGCACUAUCGUUAACUGAAUACAUAGGUUAACGAGGCGAACCGGGGGAACUGAAACAUCUAAGUACCCCGAGGAAAAGAAAUCAACCGAGAUUCCCCCAGUAGCGGCGAGCGAACGGGGAGCAGCCCAGAGUCUGAAUCAGCUUGUGUGUUAGUGGAACGGUCUGGAAAGUCCGACGGUACAGGGUGAUAGUCCCGUACACCAAAAUGCACAGGCUGUGAACUCGAAGAGUAGGGCGGGACACGUGGUAUCCUGUCUGAAUAUGGGGGGACCAUCCUCCAAGGCUAAAUACUCCUGACUGACCGAUAGUGAACCAGUACCGUGAGGGAAAGGCGAAAAGAACCCCGGCGAGGGGAGUGAAAAAGAACCUGAAACCGUGUACGUACAAGCAGUGGGAGCACCUUCGGGUGUGACUGCGUACCUUUUGUAUAAUGGGUCAGCGACUUAUAUUCUGUAGCAAGGUUAACCGUAUAGGGGAGCCGCAGGGAAACCGAGUCUUAACUGGGCGUUAAGUUGCAGGGUAUAGACCCGAAACCCGGUGAUCUAGCCAUGGGCAGGUUGAAGGUUGGGUAACACUAACUGGAGGACCGAACCGACUAAUGUUGAAAAAUUAGCGGAUGACUUGUGGCUGGGGGUGAAAGGCCAAUCAAACCGGGAGAUAGCUGGUUCUCCCCGAAAGCUAUUUAGGUAGCGCCUCGUGAACUCAUCUUCGGGGGUAGAGCACUGUUUCGGCUAGGGGGUCAUCCCGACUUACCAACCCGAUGCAAACUACGAAUACCGAAGAAUGUUAUCACGGGAGACACACGGCGGGUGCUAACGUCCGUCGUGAAGAGGGAAACAACCCAGACCGCCAGCUAAGGUCCCAAAGUCAUGGUUAAGUGGGAAACGAUGUGGGAAGGCACAGACAGCCAGGAUGUUGGCUUAGAAGCAGCCAUCAUUUAAAGAAAGCGUAAUAGCUCACUGGUCGAGUCGGCCUGCGCGGAAGAUGUAACGGGGCUAAACCAUGCACCGAAGCUGCGGCAGCGACACUAUGUGUUGUUGGGUAGGGGAGCGUUCUGUAAGCCUGCGAAGGUGACCUGUGAGGGUUGCUGGAGGUAUCAGAAGUGCGAAUGCUGACAUAAGUAACGAUAAAGCGGGUGAAAAGCCCGCUCGCCGGAAGACCAAGGGUUCCUGUCCAACGUUAAUCGGGGCAGGGUGAGUCGACCCCUAAGGCGAGGCCGAAAGGCGUAGUCGAUGGGAAACAGGUUAAUAUUCCUGUACUUGGUGUUACUGCGAAGGGGGGACGGAGAAGGCUAUGUUAGCCGGGCGACGGUUGUCCCGGUUUAAGCAUGUAGGCUGGUUGUCCAGGCAAAUCCGGAUAAUCAAGGCUGAGGUGUGAUGACGAGGCACUACGGUGCUGAAGUAACAAAUGCCCUGCUUCCAGGAAAAGCCUCUAAGCAUCAGGUAACAU